GGACUCGUAGCUCAAUUAGCAGAGCAACCCGUUGUCUGCGGGAAGGCUGAGGGUGCAAGUCCCUUCGGGUCCGCCA
Molecule: transfer RNA, 76 nt
Filed under: Verrucomicrobiales bacterium
Lineage: Bacteria; Pseudomonadati; Verrucomicrobiota; Verrucomicrobiia; Verrucomicrobiales
Description: tRNA-Asp
Rfam family: tRNA
About the family: Transfer RNA (tRNA) molecules are approximately 80 nucleotides in length.
Source: RNAcentral